RNAcentral lists this ribosomal RNA (478 nucleotides) under uncultured bacterium. RNAcentral describes it as "partial 16S ribosomal RNA". It matches the Rfam family "Bacterial small subunit ribosomal RNA", at positions 28 to 507 of the family's 1533-position model. The record is from RNAcentral.
GAUGAACGCUGGCGGCGUGCUUAACACAUGCAAGUCGAACGGGAAUUCUUUUAUUGCAACUUCGGUCGAUUUAAUUUAAUUCUAGUGGCGGACGGGUGAGUAACGCGUGGGUAACCUGCCUUAUACAGGGGGAUAACAGUCAGAAAUGGCUGCUAAUACCGCAUAAGCGCACAGAGCUGCAUGGCUCAGUGUGAAAAACUCCGGUGGUAUAAGAUGGACCCGCGUUGGAUUAGCUGGUUGGUGGGGUAACGGCCCACCAAGGCGACGAUCCAUAGCCGGCCUGAGAGGGUGAACGGCCACAUUGGGACUGAGACACGGCCCAGACUCCUACGGGAGGCAGCAGUGGGGAAUAUUGCACAAUGGGGGAAACCCUGAUGCAGCGACGCCGCGUGAAGGAAGAAGUAUCUCGGUAUGUAAACUUCUAUCAGCAGGGAAGAUAGUGACGGUACCUGACUAAGAAGCCCCGGCUAACUACGUG